CAGACCGGAUGACGGAGCGUUCCCGGAGCCUGUGGCCCAGGCCUCCCCAGCCUGGCGCGCGCGGUAAAGGCUCAUCCAGCAAACGCAGGAAGAAGUAGUUUUCCCAGGCUGUGGAACGGUUUAGGAGACCGUGUUCCAUAAGAACUCCACGCUCUCCCCGGCAUACGCCCUGGGGUCCCAGCUUAGCUGCAAAGUAAAAGAUGUGCACCAGGAGCAGAGUAGGAGCCAGGCACAAGAAGCAUCAGUUUGGGAGAGGAAGGCCAAAUGAGUCCAAGGAACGUCCUGUACUUCCCACUUGGAGAGAAGGGCGAGCAGAAGCACCCCCUGGGGCACGAGCCAGGUCAGCUGCUGUCACUGGAGAGACAUGGCUGGGCAGCUGGCAUCACAGGCUGAGGCCCACCCACACUGAGGAGGGGGCAGUCUGCUUCAUCCAGUCCACGUACCCAAACGUGAAUCUCUGCGGAAACACCCUCGCGGACACACUCAGAAACACCGUUUACCCAGCGCCUGGGCGCCCCGGGAUCCAGCAAGUUGAUGCGUAAAGUUAAGCACCACACGCAGUACGCCUGACCGCUCGGCUAAUGUGGCGGCGCCUCCGUCCUCAACAUGUUGGAGACAACGUCGGCUGGCAAAGCUUAACUCACUCUCACCUCCGAUCUUUCCAAGAAUACUCCUUAACAUUGUGUACAACUGUGCAGCCGUUUCUCUCACACUCCUUGCUGCCGUUAGGGAAAACACGGACGAGAAGUCCCUCCUGUAUGCUAAACUUGGCCUCAUCUGAUCAUCCGAGCAGCUCUUCUCGGUCUCUUGGGUGACCAUCUCCUCCUUCCUCACACCUGGCGUGGAGGUGACAGGUGUCUAGAAGUCAUGGAAGAAGAAAGUGUGAGGGUGGCUGGGGCAGGUUCUCUGCUCACCCGCGGCUUCUACCGUGUUUUGUCGGGUUCCCCACGGACCUCCUAAGCUCCUUCUUGGAGGAAAAAGAAACAGGAUUGAGCACAAAACGGCAUGUCAUCAUGUCAGGGGGCAGCCACGCCUGGAUGACUCUACGUGGCUGUAGGCUACCCCAUCUCCUCUAAAAUAUAAUGAAAUUGAAGGGAAAAAAGGCUAGACACCCCAAAACCUGAAGAGAAAGGUGAUCAGGGUGUCAAAGGUCAAAGGUAUGCAGUGGCACGCUUAAUGCAUUUUCCUAUCUUCUCAGUAUCUUGCUCACUGAAAAAUCUGAUGACGAGUUGGCCAGUUUUUGUUUUAAAUAAAACAGAUUUGAGGCAGAGGCCAUCUAUCUUAUCUGUGCCUUGCUCCCCCACAAAGAAAACAUCUUAGCAAUUUCUAUACGAAGGUACAAUUUCUUACCCAGUCUAGAGCAUCUCUUCUUAAACAUUAUGACCUCAUGCAGAAUGUUUUACACGUAUCUAUUCAGACUUUCAUAAAAACAGCCACCACUUA
Herpailurus yagouaroundi (jaguarundi) is the source of this 1443-nucleotide long non-coding RNA. RefSeq lists it as uncharacterized. The transcript has 4 exons. Lineage: Eukaryota; Metazoa; Chordata; Mammalia; Carnivora; Felidae. The record is from RefSeq and is a predicted model, not a curated record.